Molecule: long non-coding RNA, 602 nt
Organism: Juglans microcarpa x Juglans regia
Lineage: Eukaryota; Viridiplantae; Streptophyta; Magnoliopsida; Fagales; Juglandaceae
Exons: 3
Source: RefSeq, a predicted model, not a curated record
UGACCAUAGAGGAUCUUUUUUAUUUAUUUCUUCUGUUGCAAUAUAUUCUUUGCUAAUUGUUUUAUCCUUAGUAUCAGUUAUAACUGCAUUGAUUAAAAGUUUAAAAAAAAUUUAUACAAUGAGCGUACAGAAAACUUCCGAUUCCCAGUCUUCAUCCACAGCAUCAUGUCCACCUCAUAAUUACCAAAUUGCAAGGAAUACAAUAAAAUGUAAAAAUCAGAGAUAGAUCCAAUUUCCCAAUCAUGAACAGCUCUAUUGAAAUAAACAUUCCACAAAAGGAACCCACUAGAACAAUCCAGCAACUCAGACACCGAAGCCUCCUUAUUAAGAGCCAAUCCAAAAAGAGAGUGAAAUGUGGUCUCUAUGGCUGAAUCACCACAUCAUAUGUCAUGCCAAAAGUUGAUCAUCGCACCAUCACCAACCUCGAAUUUAAUAAACCAAGUAAAAUCCUCCCAUCCAUUUCUAAUAUACUUCCACAAACCAACACCAUGCACACUUCUCACUUCAUUUGAACACCAACCCCCUCGCAAACUCCCAUAUUUCAAAUCAUUAAUAGUCUUCCAAAAAGACUCCCCUUCUUGGCAUUCUAGAUAGAAUAAAAG